This 253-nucleotide ribosomal RNA is filed under the name uncultured bacterium. Its description in RNAcentral is "partial 16S ribosomal RNA". It matches the Rfam family "Bacterial small subunit ribosomal RNA", at positions 524 to 776 of the family's 1533-position model. The record is from RNAcentral.
UACGAAGGGGGCUAGCGUUGUUCGGAAUUACUGGGCGUAAAGCGCAUGUAGGCGGAUAUUUAAGUCAGGGGUGAAAUCCCGAAGCUCAACUGCGGAACUGCCUUUGAUACUGGGUAUCUUGAGUAUGGAAGAGGUGAGUGGAAUUCCGAGUGUAGAGGUGAAAUUCGUAGAUAUUCGGAGGAACACCAGUGGCGAAGGCGGCUCACUGGUCCAUUACUGACGCUGAGGUGCGAAAGCGUGGGGAGCAAACAGG